Small nucleolar RNA from Papaver somniferum (opium poppy), 91 nucleotides. Lineage: Eukaryota; Viridiplantae; Streptophyta; Magnoliopsida; Ranunculales; Papaveraceae. The record is from RefSeq and is a predicted model, not a curated record.
CAAGAGCAAAUGGGUAAAAUUUAUUUGUAAAUGGGUAAUUUGCAUCUGAAAAUUUCAUUGAUGUUAACACCUUGGAGAUCUGAUGCCCUGC